AUAAAAAUGAUUCCUUAUCUUUGAUAGUAAGUUCAAAAUAGCCCCUUAAGUAUCACUGAGCAGUUUUAUCAUUUUGUCAUCCAUUUUACACAAAAUCCUCUCCUAAAUUGUCCUCGGUUACUCUACCAUUUUCAUUUUCAUUUUCAUUUUGGGUCGGCUCAGCUUAAUUCCUCUCUUCCAACAAUGAAUGAUUCCAUAAUACCUCUUCUUAAAUCACAACAUAAAUCCUCUUAAAGCUACCCUUGAAUUCGUUAUUGAAAUGCAUGUGUAUUUCAAAAUCAUGGCUUCAACUAAUUUCUAACCCUGAUUUUGUGAAGACCCAUCUGAAAUUAAGUGCUAAUGACAAAGAAUUCAGCCACCAUAGGGUCAUAUUUCCUGACUACAAAAACAAUUUCAACGUAUGCUCUCUCCCUAACUUAUUUCACAAAGAAACAAGCACUGAGGUAGUUGUUGACAUGGAUGGAAAACCCCCUGUUUAUUGUUGGACUGUGGAUUUGGCUAAUGGGUUGGUUUGUUUUUUGGUUGGCUUUGAGGAGGGCUACUUAUGUAACCCCACAAUUAGAAAGUCCAAGAAAUUGCCUAAAAUUCUUUGCGCGUGUUUGUAGUUACUAUUACAGAUAUGGUUUUGGAUAUGAUGAGUCACAUGACGAUUAUAAAGUAGUAAUUAUUCAGUGUAUUUCUGAUAAUGGCGGAUCAUAGGAUAAUGUGGUCAAGAUUUACAAUUUGAGGACUGAUUCUUGGAGAAGAGUCAAUGGGUGUCGGGCCAUCUUUAUGCUGGAUUGUUCAAGUAAAUUUGUCAAUGGGAAGUUAUGUUGGCCUUCAUGUGCUACGCCUGCUGGUGUUCAUGGGUACGAAUUCUGGUGUUCAUGGUUACGAAUUUUGUGACACCGUUUCUCCUGAUUUAACAGAUGAGACAUGGGGAAGGCUGGAGGUUCUUUGUUAUGGACAAGGCAAAAGUAUACUAGGAGUGAUGGGAAAUGAUCUCUCUGUGCUUUAUCAUCGUGGAAAGAUUUGUGAUAUGUGGAUUAUCCAGGAUUGUGGCACUGACACCAACCCUGUAUAUUACUAUCCAAAAGGAGGGCAAUAUGAUGCCUUACCUCCUCAUAUCCUAUGUUAGAAUUGAACAAACUCAAUGCUUUACUAUAGGGAAAGUAAAUAAAAGGAGGAAUUGGGGAUACUAAAUGACCGUCCCUCAAUUCAUAUGUACAGGACUCAUCCUUAUUUUUUUUCAUGACAAGGGAACCCACAGCUGCCCCUUUAGAUGCGCGUAAGGUAAACCCUGCUCCUGUGUAAUAGUGCACAAAUUACACAGGAGAGAUAAUCCGCACUAAGCAAGCCUCGUGCUGUUACAUCCCGCGUUUUCACAAGUUGGAAGGCGUACGAGUUCAAUGACAUUAGUAACGGAAUAAGUUUGAUGAAUUUUGAAACUGUUAUAUAUGGUCUUGAUAUGGUAUUUUCUUUUAAGUAAACCCCUUUUAGUAAAUAUUUGAUAAGUAUAAUUUUCUAUAGUUAUUACUGUUACUACUUCUGGGAUACAUUUUUAAUUAUGUGUGCGGUAUGAGGACAUUUAGAAGUGAGAUUUUAUUUGUUAUGGGUACAUAAAUUAUUUCCUCUUAUGAAAAUCUAUCUUUUUCUAUUAUGAGAAUUAUUGAGGAAUACGUAUGAUAGAUAUUAAUAUAUGCACCAUUGCUAUAUUAUUACCAUAUGAAUACUACGUUACCAAUUAGAUAUAGUGAUUACUAGAUGAAAAUAUAGAAGGAAACAUAUGGUGCUUUUUGUUUACAAGUGUAACAGAUAGAAAGUCUUUUUAGUUGGAAAAUAUGUAUUAUAUAUUAAAUGUUAAGUGGGACAGCAAGGAUGGAAUAGCUACUAUUAAAAGGUGUAGUGACUACAUGGAUUAAUGGUAGGCAUUCAUUUUAGUAAAUAUAAGGAACAUUACAUUGAUAGGAUAAGUGUUUCGUACUAUUAGUGCGUGAAUUUGUUAAAUUCCACACUUUUGUGCAUUGGAUUUGUCGUAAGUUAAUUGACAUAAGUUCAAGGACAAUAUUAUGUGUAACAAGUGAUAAGUAAGUGUCGUGGAGGUUAAACGAAUCGGAGAAAAUAAGUUUUGUCAAAGUUUAGAAAUUGAACAAGUUAUAACGAACUAUAUGGAAUUUUAGUCACAUUCAAGUAUGCAAAUAAAGAGAUCAUGGUAUAAAAGUUUGAGGUCCCGAAAUUAUUUAAGACUCGAAAGUGAAUGACGGUGAUUGGAAAUAAUAUUUUGUGUGUACAAAAAGGGACUGUGGACUACUGCUACAUCACAUGAUCAUGCCAAUGAAUAUGGAGUGUAUUAAAAAUGAUUACUUUUUAAAUGAAUUGAGAUCAAGAAAUUAAUUACGCGGGCAAUUAAUGAAACGUCGGAUUAGUGGGGGACAUAAUUCGGUGAUCACCACAAAUAAAGUGACCAGAUGUACAAGCCGUGUAAGUGUUAUCUACACUUAAUCUCUUAAGGUGCAAAUAAUAUAAGUGGAAGGGGAGGGGGCUUAGGUGUCAAGUUUAUAGUGCAAGCGUGCAAAAAGUUUGCCAGCAAGCACCACUAAGUAUGUACUUAUUUAUUAAAAUAGCAAAUCAACAUAUGAGGCUACAUUUCAUUUGGAUACUAAUCCUUGGGAGGAACAAGACACCAAAAACGUACAGCAACCUCCCUAGAUUCAUCAAGCAAUGUAUAGCACAAAUUCAUACGUAUUGCAAAAACGUUUUCGGCCCUUUAAGGAAAACAAUAUUCCAUUCUUGUUCAAGAAUUAGUAGGAGCAAGAGUUGUUCUUGGAGAGCUCAAGUAAAUGUUGUUGAUGAAUAUAUCAAGUGAGGCGGAUUGGAGGUUUCUUCGAACUGAAGAAAGGUGGAAGAAGAGUAGUUAACGGAAUAUAAGGCUAAAAGAGCGACGAGACGAACGAGUUACGAAUAGCCGCUAACAGGUACAGACGCACAGUUUGGUGAUCCACCAGUUUAGGACACCCUCUUCUGCUGUUUGGAGUGCUCCUCUUAUUCCGGAGCCUACAUUUUGGUAUAUAUACUUGUUUGAUGCAUAUGUAUAUAUUUGUUCAGAAGUACGGCGGGGCCCUGUUCCGCCAUAUGAUCCGUUUGGUCUGUUUAGAGGUCUGUAGACGUAUUUGUGGGUGUGUGUGCCUACUUCUGUACAGAUGUGUUUGUAUGACCCUGUUCGUUAUGGCAGCCUUGUCGGCGUGCACUUUGUAUAUGUUUUGGGCCGUUGCGCCAUCUGUUAGCCUUGCCGGCUUUUUGAUAUAAGUAUAUGUAUAUGUUUGCGCUGUGUGUCUGAUACAGUUUGACAUAGUUUGAGACGGCAUAUAGUGUUUAUGGCCGUAUAUGCUAUUUGGAUGUGAUCAGAUAUGGAUAGGUAUGUCAGGGUGCCCAAGUAGGGCGCCAGUCACGGCCUACGGGGUUGGGUCGUGACACGUGCGAUGAGCUCGGCCCAGAAGAAAAAUCCCCUACUAUCGUAGGCAGGGGGUUUCAAACCUGAUACCUUCAGUAGAAGUCCCAUGCUCAACCGAUUGAGCCACCGUAGAUUAGAGUUAUUGAUCUUUUGGUUCUAAAAGCUGGCAUAUUAGCUUUGUCCACAGUGAUGUGCCGUGGUAAGGCUGCUGAGGUUUUGUAUUCCACCCUCUACUCUAGGCUGUAGUUGUAUUGAGGAAGCUGCAAGUCCCUUAGAUUCUCUAAAUAGCGAGAAAAUAGCAAGCUCUUUAUGUGCAUAGUGCUCUUUUUUCACAUUCCAAGGAGCUUUGUUUGGUUCCAAUAUCCAUUGGAUGAAUAUGAUUUUGUUCCUUUUUAUUGAGCUGAUUUGAUUGUGACAGUGAUGGAGUCAUACCUUUGGUGAAUUAUUGAUGAUAUACUUUCAAGUUAUAUGCCCAAUAAAAAGAAACAAAAUCGUGUUUGUAUAGAAAUUUGGGUGAGUUAAGAGUUGAUACAGCUGGACUUUGCUCGGUUUGCUAUGAAAAUGCUCCAGAUCUAAUAACUACCAAUGUGGAGCCUCAUAAUAAAUUGCCUGCCGUUUUUUUUUGUUUUUUUUUAUUUAUGUGCUUUUGGUUUUUCCUUCAUAAUAACCUCCUACAAGUAGAACUGAAAUUUUUACCUCGUAGUCUUUAGAUGUCAGUUAAGGUGAAUGUAUCUAUUCAUUUUCACUGCAUACAAGUUGACUGAAAUGCAGUUUGUGUUUGCGCUUUUUGCUUUUUCUUUAACUAGGUGGCUAUUUUUGUAAUGUUAUACUGUUUUUGCGAUUCAUGUGAAAAA
Long non-coding RNA from Lycium barbarum (goji berry), 4284 nucleotides. RefSeq lists it as uncharacterized. The record is from RefSeq and is a predicted model, not a curated record. NCBI's taxonomy places the organism in Eukaryota, Viridiplantae, Streptophyta, Magnoliopsida, Solanales, Solanaceae. The transcript has 4 exons.